Molecule: RNA transcript, 2196 nt
Organism: Microtus ochrogaster (prairie vole)
Lineage: Eukaryota; Metazoa; Chordata; Mammalia; Rodentia; Cricetidae
Gene: Pcgf6
Gene name: polycomb group ring finger 6
Exons: 11
Source: RefSeq, a predicted model, not a curated record
GGGGUAGCUGGUGCUCUCCUCGCGCGCUAGCUGUCCGCCUCGCCUCGCGCUCACCUCUCCUGGUUUCCGACCCCCGCCAUGGAAGAGGCUGAGACGGACGCCACGGAAAACUGUCGCGCCUCCGAGGCCAAGCGAGCCUCUGCCAUGCCUCCGCCGCCGCCUCCCAUCUCUCCGCCGGCCCUCACCCCGGCGCCCGCGGCCGGUGAGGAGGGCCCGGCGUCCCUGACCGAGGCGGGCGCUCCCGGCUGCUCCCGCUCUCGGCCCCCGGAGCUGGAGCCCGAGCGCAGCCUGGGCCGUUUGAGGGGCCGCUUCGAGGACUACGACGAGGAGUUGGAGGAGGAUGAGGAGAUGGAGGAGGAAGAGGAGGAGGAGGAAGACAUGAGCCACUUCUCGCUGCGGCUGGAGUCGGGGCGGCCGGACUCCGAGGACGAGGAGGAGCGCCUGCUGAACCUUGCUGAACUGACCCCGUACAUCAUGUGUUCUAUUUGCAAGGGGUACUUAAUAGAUGCAACUACCAUUACAGAGUGUCUUCAUACCUUUUGUAAAAGCUGCAUUGUAAGACAUUUUUACUACGGCAACAGAUGCCCAAAAUGCAACAUAGUUGUCCACCAGACCCAGCCUCUUUAUAAUAUAAGGUUGGACCGACAGUUACAAGACAUAGUGUACAAAUUAGUGAUCAAUCUAGAGGAAAGAGAAAAAAAGCAAAUGCAUGAUUUCUAUAAAGAAAGAGGUCUAGAAGUACCCAAACCUGCUGUUCCACAACCAGUCCCUUCAAACAAAGGAAAAACCAAGAAAGUCCUAGAGUCAGUGUUUCGUAUUCCACCUGAACUUGAUAUGUCUUUAUUACUUGAGUUCAUUGGUGCUAAUGAAGAUACAGGACACUUUAAGCAUUCACUGAGAUUUGAGCCAUUAGAAAAGAAGUUUGUGCGUGUUUCAGGAGAAGCAACUAUUGGGCAUGUAGAGAAAUUUCUUAGAAGAAAAAUGGGUCUUGAUCCAGCUUGUCAGGUACAGUACAUGUAGAUAUCAUCUGCGGUGAUCACUUAUUGGAACGGUACCAAACUCUACGGGAAAUCCGGCGUGCAAUAGGUGAUGCAGCAAUGCAGGAUGGUCUGCUUGUUCUUCAUUACGGUCUUGUGGUUUCUCCUUUGAAAAUAACAUGAAGAAUUGAGGGUAUAUGAGGAAGAAAAUGCAGUAAGGAUGCUUCUGCAGGUCUGCAUCACACCAAAGAUUCUCAGAAACAUGUAGCCACCACUACUUUGUGCUGUUAAGAGCUAGCUUCUGAUUUUCCACACCAGAACCCUAGCAUUGUGUGUACAACUUGAAACAAUAGAAUGUAUUUACUACACUAGAGACUAUAUACAAAGCACUCAAAACUCAGGGGAAAAACUGAAAACACUGAAUUUUAAAAUUCCUUGUGAUUCCAAAUACGAGGAAGUUGCUGGUUGCUUCCCAUCUUUGAGGUAGGUUGGUCAUCUGGCAGCUAGGAUUCUGCCCUCCAGGCUGCAUGGGUCGGGCAGGUGUCCUUGCAGAGCAGCUUUGCUUGAGUUCAAAGCCAAUCCGUUAAACCGCAGGGUGCACUCAGCACCAAAACUACUGUCCAUUACACAAUCCUGUCCUAUUCUAAACGUUAAAAACCAACAGUGAUCCUACUAAAGCAGUGUUAUCUAGCUCUGAGACAGUGGAGAGACUGUCUCUUGUUGGGUACGGCUCUUAACAUCCCUAAAUAUGAGGUGCUUCUCUGUGAUGUUUUAUUUGCAUAGAUCAGUGCUACUGGGACAGGUGUCAGAUGGGUUCCCUCAGUGUGGCUGUUGAUAAUGGCACUUGUCAUGGCACUGCUUCUGAAAGUAGCAAAAAAUUUCAGGUGAAUUACCAGAAGUUUACAGAAUCCUUAUUGUUUCCUCAGUCACUUACCUUAACUGGUUCUAUGUUUAAUGUUUGUUUUCUCAUCACUGGGAUAAAGAAUGAGAGUCUGAGAACCUUUCUUUCAUGAAGUAAGGUCAUGAAAUUUAUUUUAAACUUAAUGUUUAAAAUUAAUUUUAAGCAUUAAGAAGAAAUAUUUUAUAGACUCUUAUUUCACAGCAAAAUUUCCAAAUCUGUACAGAAACUUAUAAGAUUGAACUUACAUUGGCAGAUGUUUUGUAAAAAAUUUAUGAAAUUGUGUGUGAAUCUCUUCUGACAUUUAAUAAAAUUUAUUUU